RNAcentral lists this transfer RNA (73 nucleotides) under Parcubacteria group bacterium. RNAcentral's name for it is "tRNA-Val". It matches the Rfam family "tRNA". From Rfam's summary of the family: Transfer RNA (tRNA) molecules are approximately 80 nucleotides in length. Their secondary structure includes four short double-helical elements and three loops (D, anti-codon, and T loops). The record is from RNAcentral. RNAcentral also lists the same sequence under 1 other name.
GGACGGCUAGCUCAAUGGUUAGAGCGCCUGCUUUACACGCAGGAGGUUAUAGGUUCGAGUCCUAUGCCGUCCA